GCCGCAGUCCGAGUCAGACGCGCGGGCGCGGGGGACAGCGCAGGAGCCGCCCGGCUGGGGCAGCCAGAGGCGACAGCUUCCUCAAGAACGAACGACAUCUGCGCUCCACGGUCCUGGGCAGCAGCGCCGGAGCUGAGCGGUGGGCGCGGCGCGAGAACGAAUCUUUGUGAUAUUCUUCCUCAGCACCCUUUACCCUUGUUUGCUGAAGACUCUGACCAAAGCUGCUCUCAGCUGUUGGCAUCAUCCUGAGAAAAGGGACAGCUUCAGAAAUCAGGGAAGCAUUUUGGAAGCUCCUGGUCUGGUGAUCUUUUGAAGAGCAAUGCUAAGAAGACCUUUGGUUUAAAGAAUUAAAAGGAAGAACAACCUCUUGACAUAAGAAGACUUUCUUCAAAG
Long non-coding RNA from Galeopterus variegatus (Sunda flying lemur), 393 nucleotides. RefSeq lists it as uncharacterized. NCBI's taxonomy places the organism in Eukaryota, Metazoa, Chordata, Mammalia, Dermoptera, Cynocephalidae. The record is from RefSeq and is a predicted model, not a curated record. The transcript has 3 exons.